This 433-nucleotide ribosomal RNA is filed under the name uncultured bacterium. RNAcentral's name for it is "partial 16S ribosomal RNA". It matches the Rfam family "Bacterial small subunit ribosomal RNA", at positions 29 to 507 of the family's 1533-position model. The record is from RNAcentral.
AGCGAACGCUGGCGGCAGGCCUAACACAUGCAAGUCGAACGAACUCUUCGGAGUUAGUGGCGGACGGGUGAGUAACACGUGGGAACGUGCCUUUUGGUUCGGAAUAACUCAGGGAAACUUGUGCUAAUACCGAAUGUGCCCUUCGGGGGAAAGAUUUAUCGCCAUUAGAGCGGCCCGCGUCUGAUUAGCUAGUUGGUGAGGUAACGGUUCACCAAGGCGACGAUCAGUAGCUGGUCUGAGAGGAUGACCAGCCACACUGGGACUGAGACACGGCCCAGACUCCUACGGGAGGCAGCAGUGGGGAAUCUUGCGCAAUGGGCGAAAGCCUGACGCAGCCAUGCCGCGUGAAUGAUGAAGGUCUUAGGAUUGUAAAAUUCUUUCACCGGGGACGAUAAUGACGGUACCCGGAGAAGAAGCCCCGGCUAACUUCGUG